AAUAAGCGUAGUUGUGAGUUUCAGUGUCCAACAUUGACCAUCCGUAUUAUUUGAAAUGUUUUUAUGAUUAGUAUUUUUAUUAUUUUUAGAUGAUAAAAUAUGAAUAGUAUUUUAUGCGCGACUUAACUUUAAAAAUCUUUCAUAAAUUUUUCAAAUAAGACGGACGGUCAAACGUUGGACACAGAAACUUAUCACUGCACUUAUU
Molecule: microRNA precursor, 205 nt
Organism: Oryza sativa Indica Group (long-grained rice)
Lineage: Eukaryota; Viridiplantae; Streptophyta; Magnoliopsida; Poales; Poaceae
Rfam family: MIR812 microRNA precursor family
Source: Rfam